RNAcentral lists this ribosomal RNA (447 nucleotides) under uncultured bacterium. RNAcentral's name for it is "bacterial SSU rRNA". It matches the Rfam family "Bacterial small subunit ribosomal RNA", at positions 355 to 825 of the family's 1533-position model. The record is from RNAcentral.
UCGGGAAUUUUGGGCAAUGGGCGAAAGCCUGACCCAGCAACGCCGCGUGAAGGAUGAAGUAUUUCGGUAUGUAAACUUCGUAAGAAUAGGAAGAAUAAAUGACGGCACUAUUUGUAAGGUCCGGCUAACUACGUGCCAGCAGCCGCGGUAAUACGUAGGGACCAAGCGUUGUUCGGAUUUACUGGGCGUAAAGGGCGCGUAGGCGGUUUGUCAAGUCAGUUGUGAAAUCUCCGAGCUUAACUCGGAACGGUCAACUGAUAGUGUCAAACUAGAGUACAGAAGGGGCAAUCGGAAUUCUUGGUGUAGCGGUGAAAUGCGUAGAUAUCAAGAGGAACACCUGAGGCGAAGGCGGGUUGCUGGGCUGAUACUGACGCUGAAGCGCGAAAGCUAGGGUAGCAAACGGGAUUAGAUACCCAGGUAGUCCCUGAGCGGGCUGGCAAGGCGCAU